RNAcentral lists this ribosomal RNA (442 nucleotides) under Metagovea sp. DNA101642. Its description in RNAcentral is "partial 16S ribosomal RNA". It matches the Rfam family "Bacterial large subunit ribosomal RNA", at positions 1829 to 2600 of the family's 2925-position model. Lineage: Eukaryota; Metazoa; Arthropoda; Arachnida; Opiliones; Neogoveidae. The record is from RNAcentral.
UGCCUUAAGAUAGUCAUUAAGGUAAGGCCUGCUCAAUGAAAUUUAAAUAGCUGCAGAUUCUGUACUAAGGUAGCAUAAUCAUUUGAUAUUUAAUUGGUAUCUGGAAUGAAGGGCAUCACGUAUUUAUUAAUUUUUUCAUUUUAACUAUUUAAGUUUAUAUUUUAGUAAAAAAGCUAAAAUAUCCUUUAGGGACGAGAAGACCCUAGAAAGCUUAAAAUCUAUAAAUAUGUGAAGAUUUUGAUUGGGGCAAUCUACUAAGAUCUAAAACUUAUCUUUGAGCCAAAACUUUUGAAUAAAUACAAAGUUACUUUAGGGAUAACAGCAUAAUAAGUAGACAGGAGUUCUUAUUCUCUCUGCUGUUUGUGACCUCGAUGUUGAAUUAAUGUUCCUAAGAGAUGCAGAAGUCUCUUAAGGUAGUCUGUUCGACUAUUAAAUCUUUACG